UUUCUUUAUUCGUACUCGGUCAUUUUCGACCCAGUAAUAUAGUUUACUUGGUGCUAGAGAUGUCUUUGCUGUUCAUGGGAGAUUCUCAUAGAGCUCAAUUUCUGGCGUAUAUUUAUAAACUGCAAAGAUAUGAUUUACUUAAUAUUGAUUCUGCAAUUGACGUGAAGUUCUGUGGAAUUAGUGGCGGUUGUUUAACAAACUCGAACGAUGUCCUGUUCUUUCAAGAUUGAUUAGUGAAGCAUCAUCCUGACUAUGGUGUCAUGUUCAUUGGUGGUAACGAUAUUGAUUAACCAGGCUCUACUGCAUUAAAUGCAGAGACCAUAGCAUUACGAAAUGUUUCAAUUGCUAAACUUUUCUUACGUUGCUACAAUCCGAAACAUAUCUUUAUUUGCCAAUUUAUUCUAAGGCAACACACCCGCCACAUCCCAGCGUACAUAUACAAUGAUUUUAUUACUGAGAAAAGCGAACAGGGUGUUUAAACAAGAACUUGGAAUACUUAACGUACUGGAAUUUGAAAGGAAUGAAACAUUCUAAUGCUAACAUUUUACAGAUAGAUGGUGUUCAUUUCAACAACCUGGGAUUUGAAAUUUUUCCACAAUGUGAGAGAAAUGAUUUUGAAGUGCAUUGCAGAUAUGUAAUUCACACAUGUACUGGAAGAUACUGUAUUCUAAUUGGUGGCACAUUUGUAUCUAUAUUAUCAUAUAACAGUAAGUAUAGACAUAGUAAGUAUAUUAGCCGUCAUAUAUGAUAGAACCAAACCCAUAUGGGGUCCAUUUCAGUUAGAUAAACAAGACUUUCUGCAGGCUUAUGAACAUGGCAGAUCUUGUAUAUCACAAAUUUUCUGUCCAUUUGUGGUAAAAGACUAAAUGUAGUUAAAUGGACUAAUAGAAUUAUAAAGUCUAAACACAUUGUCUGUAUGUGUUUAUAUAGUUUAAAUGUAGUUAAAUGGUCUACUAGAAUUAUAAAAUCUAGACACAUUGUCUGUAUUUGUUUAUAUUCUGUUCCACUAUAUAAAUAAUGGUUACAGACAAGUAAUCUGCAGUCAAAUACACCGUAAGUUGUCAAAUGGGCAACAAAAUAUGAUCGUUUUUGACAACUGUCUACCUUUAUGUAAUCAAAUGGGCUGCAUGGAGUCAAAUAGGUUACUAAGUCUAUGUUACUCAGAUAUUUUGUCCGUAUUGAUGUAGUCAAAUGGACUACAGUGUAGUCAGAUGGACUACUUUGUAUAGUCAAAUGAACUAUAUGUAGUCAUAUGGACUACUUUAUUUAGUCGAUGGAUUAUUUUACUGUAUGGCUAAACACAGGAUGACUGCUAAAAUGUUACAAGAAGAGAUUGUUGUAAAUACAGUAUUAUCUCGUGGAAGUUGAUCUUUACAUGCUCUUUUAGUAAGUAUAGAUAUAGUAAGUAUAUUAGCCUGUCAUAUGUGAUAGAACCAUUUCAGUUAGAUAAACAAGACUUUCUGCAGGCUUAUGAACAUGGCAGAUCUUGUAUAUCACAAAUUUUCUGCCCGUUUGUAGUAAAAGACUAAAUGUAAGUAACUGGACUAAUAAAAUUAUAAAGUGUAAACAGAUUUCUGUAUUUGUUUAUACGUUUGUGGCCGAUUAGUUUAAAUGUAGUUAAAUGGUUUACUAGAAUUAUAAAAUCUAGACACAUUGUCUUUAUUUUCUUAUAUUCUGUUCCACUAUAUAAAUAAUGGUUACAGACAAAUAAUCUGUAGUCAAAUACACCGCAAGUUGUCAAAUGGACAACAAAAAAUGAUUGUACUUGACAGCUGUCUACAUUUAUGUAGUCAAAUGGGCUGCAUGGAGUCAAAUGGGCUACUAAGUAUAUGUUACUCAGAUAUUAUGUCCAUAUUGAUGUAGUCAAAUGGACUAUAGUGUAAUCAGAUGGACUACUUUGUAUAGUCAGAUGGACUUCUUCGUAUAGUCAAAUGGACUAUAUGUAGUCAUAUGGACUACUUUAUUUAGUCGAUAGAUUAUUUUUUCUGUAUGGUUAAACACAGGAUGACUGCCAUAUACUUGUAACAUGUUACAAGAAGAGAUUGUUGUAAAUACAGUAUUUCUCGUGGAAGUUGAUCUUUACAUGUUCUCGUAUAUGGUUUUCUAUUUCAUAUGCCACCAAGACAGCAAAGGCUGCUGCAGCUGGGGAAGCAGCUAAACCGAACGAAGAACAAACCAAAUUGAGCAGGUUUUAGAAGCUAACACAUCCAAUUUAUCAGAAAAAGACUUGAACACAAUUAUAUCAAAUGUUGUUCCUGCUGUCACACAAGGUAUGUCGUAGAUUUUAAAAGACUUGAAGGUACUACCGCCUGACUAUUCAGAACCAAAACUUCGGAAAAGAACAGAUACCUUUGGAAUCCACACAAAGCACUUCAACAUCUGCUUCAGCACCAACUUUGCCAGCUUCAGUUAUGAAUCAAAAUUCUGCCACAUUUUGCAUCCACUUUUUCUUGGUAUUGAUGAAAAAAUCAAAGCUAAGAUUGUAUCAGAUCAGUUUGUGGAGUUAGAUUCCAUAUAAAAUAAAGGUGAUUACCAAUAUCAUUUAGUCGAAAAUGGCAGUGGGAAACUCUCGUUCAAAAAAGUUUUAAAUCGUCGACCAGUAUAAAAACGCUGGAUCAAGGGUUUAAUACAUUUCAUAUUUUUACAAGUGUUUAAACAGACAGACACCCAACAUCUGCUGCUACUUUAAUGAAACAUUGCGACACAGUUCGUAAACUUGCAAAGCAAUUGGGGGAUUCCGCUGCCAUUUUUACGAUAGACAAUUUAGUCUCUUAUAAGAAGCAAGAUUGGCUUCGAUUUCAUAUGGGGAAAUCGAUACCCAGUUAUACACGCAGGCACUGGUCAUGGGGUUAAUUAAGCCAAAACAAGAACAGUCUUUUCUUGGCGCAAGAUUCCACCAAAACAACCCGUGCUUUGAUUUUAACAACGGGUCUAGUGCCAGAAAAUCGUGCAUCUUUCAGCACAGAUGUCAAAAGUGCCCCGGUCCUCAUGGACGAAUUGUGUGUUUUUUUUUAAAAGGUGCAAUCAAAUUUCAAGUCAAAGAACUGAUAACGUAACCCUAUGCAUGGUGCCUGCAGUCUUAAAUAAGGCUACUUUUCAUAUUGUUACACCAAUUAAUUCUGAUAACCUACGAUACUGGCUCCAAGGUGCGACUUGAAAUUAACUGAAUAUUUGAUGAAUGGCUUCACAAGGGCUUUAAAAUACCUUUUACAGAUACUCAUUCUAAUAAAUUUCCUGGGAAUUUCAAAUCUGUGACUGAAAAUUUAGAGGGCAUAAAAUCACUGUUGAAAUUGAUGCGGGUCGUGUUCCGGGUCUUUUGAAUGAACCACCUUUCAGUAACUUUAUGACCUCAACUCUGGGUUUAGUACCAAAUCAGGAACCCAGUGAAUUUCGUGGAAUACAUUAUUUAUCAUUUCCAGAAGGUCAGUCUGUUAAGGCUGGAAUCCCAUCAGAAUUGUGUUUUGCUCAAUAUCAAAAUAUUGAUGAUGCAGUAGAACUUGUGAAAACUAUUGGACCUGGUGCGCUUCUGUCAAAAUUUAUGUCCAAAAUGCAUUUAAAAUCAUUCCAAUUCAGUUGUUGACCUUUCAUGUUUUCCUUCGAGUUGGAGAAUUUACUUCUUCCUCUCCCGACUCGUAUAUUAUAGUAGUAGAACAUGUAUAUAUAACAUUCAAUCGAACUAAAUAGCUUUGACUUGGUUCUGAAAAGCUAUAAUUAUAGUCGAGGCAAGACCCAUAAACUGCAUAUAUCAUGUUGUCACUAUGAAUUAGGUAUGUGCCCAUUGCAUGCAUUGUACUCGUAUUAUACAUUAAGUAACGCUCCACCUGGCCCACUAUUUCCGUUUUUGAUAAUCAUCCAGUGACAAGAUAUUUUUUUUGUACCAAGCUUCAAAUGUCACUCACUCGGUUAGGGUAUAGUAAUGACUUUUACAAAGGUCAUAGUUUCCGCAUUGGUGCGGCAUUGCAAAGAGGUUUAUGGGGAGUUUCAAAAAAAAAAACUCGACCUUUUGGCAGGUGGUUUUCAAAUACUUAUAAAAAGUAUAUUCGCAUUCCUAUGGGAGAAAAAUUAGAUGGGGUCCAAGCUCCAAUCAUAUAGGUACAUCAUGGUCACAAAUGUGAUGGGGUCAAGGGUCUCUCACCUUGUGAUUAUCAUGUUAACAAGUAUUAUUCAGUUAUCCUCUUAAGACAAAUAUCAGUAUUGGAUUUUAGAAGUCAUACACCUUUGUUUGGGGUGGAUUAUUUUUAUCAAGUUAAUAUCUAGUUUUCUUAUGUUUGUAAUUCUUAUUGCUAAUGGUGCGAUGGGGUCAUGGGUCUCUCGCACUUAAGUUAUCAUGUUACAUGUACACAAAGUUUAUUAGUAGGCAAUUUUGCAUGUUUUUAUGAGUUACUGAUAUUUUGCUUGUAUGAUGGUGCCAAGGGAUGCUCGCCUCUAUUUUGUCAUGUUAAAUAUACCUGUACCAUUGUCUACAAUUUCUGCAUGUUAGAGGAUGUAACACUUCAACAAGUAUUCUUCAGUUAUCCUCUUAAUACAAAUAUCCGUAUUGGAUUUUAGAAAUCAUACACCUUUGUUUGGGGUGGAUUAUUUUUAUCAAGUUAAUAUCUAGUUUUCUUAUAUUGUAAUUAUGUCUCCCCCAGGAGACAUAUUGUUUUUGCCCUGUCCGUCCGUCCGUAUGUCACACUUCAUUUCCGAGCAAUAACUGGAGAACCAUUUGACCUAGAACCUUCAAACUUCAUAGGGUUGUAGGGCUGCUGGAGUAGACGACCCCUAUUGUUUUUGGGGUCACUCCGUCAAAGGUCAAGGUCACAGGGGCCUGAACAUUGAAAACCAUUUCUGAUCAAUAACUAGAGAACCACUUGACGCAGAAUGUUGAAACUUCAUACGAUGAUUGGUCAUGAAGAGUAGAUGACCCCUAUUGAUUUUGGGGUCACUCCGUCAAUGGUCAAGGUCACAGGGGCCUGAACAUUGAAUAGGGGUGACUAUUGAGGCCAAUUUUGACUAUUGCAAUACUAUUGAUAUUGCUUAAAAACUAUUGCGAUACUAUUCUAUUGCAGGUUACUAUUGCGAUACUAUUGCAAUAGUUAUCGGCCAUCAUAUUUUAUACAGUAAAGCUACCAACUGGCAUUGUUACACGGUGUAAGAGACGGCACUGUUUAUAAUUGCUGAUAACACACAUUGAGAUGUUUGUACAACUGAAACGGACAGAAAUAAUUCUAACAUUAAAUAUUUCUUGCCUUCCUUGGCUUUGGAACAAUAAGUAAAACAAUAAACCUAUGCAAGGUAUACUCAAACGAAUCGGCCAUUUUGUUGCGAAUGUCAACAUGUUUAAUAACCCAAAGCAUCGAAAAAGACGAAAAUUAACGGAUCGGAUUAAGGUGUACCAGCACUAAAUGAAGGGUCCUACCGAACAGUUUGCUGUAUAAUACAAGUAGCCUUCUUUCUCCAUGUCCAUAGUACAUUUUCUCAUCUAAUAUUAACAGGUUACUAGCUAAUGGUUUAAAAAUUCCAGUUAAAGGAAAAAGAACAAGACAUCUUAAUGAGAAGAAUUCUAACAGAACAAUAACAAAUUUAAUAACGGUUUGAAGUUGUUCUUCCAAAUAAAAUUGUCUGACAGCAUUUGACUAUAUUGUAGACUUUGAGGACUAGAUAGAUCGUGGAUACUUCAAAGAAGAAAUUAAGGCUAGGUUAAAAGCUUACAACCUGAAGUCUGCCAGAGUUCUGAUCCGAGCUAUAUCAAAGAGGGUCAAACCAGGCACAUUGCCUAUGAUGCGACAUGAUAUGAGCAAGUCUGUGUUCUUCAUCCAGACACCACAUGGGUGGGCACUGUACUGAAGUGGGACAUCCUUGUCAGGACACAAGAUGUUUCUUCCAGUAAACACUGGCGCUGUGCCAAAAUAUUUCAUGUUUUAAAAACUGGAGACUAUAUGAUAUUUUUUGCUGGCUCUGAACUGUUUUAAAUAUCAGAUGAACAUCAUGUUAAUAGUGCGACUAUGAUACUCUGAAAGAAAAACUGGAAACUUUUUAUGGGGAGCCUAUCUCAGAAUUAGUGGAAUAAAGAAAUUCUGAAAGAAAAAUCACUGCAAAUAUUAUUUAGUGUAAAAUGUUCAAAGAAAGGAAGAUUUAUUAAUCUUUCAAAAGUUACAGUGAAAAAACAUUACAUGCCUUUUUAUACAGUCAUUACAGUGGUUGCUAAAAUGAAGUAAUUUAAAAAAAACAAAAAAACUAUAAGACAACCAUAUAUGAAUUGACUUGAUUUUUCAUACUGCCCCACUUUUUACCUAGGUUACUGAAAUGAGGGGUGUAUUUUGUGUUAAGGUGAUUAAGUUGCACUGGACUGUAGUUCUAUACAGCACAUAGCCUUGCAAGAGAAAAGAGCGAAACUGUUUUAAUUUACUAUAUUAUUAGCAUGUUUAAGACAUUUUCUUUUUCCAACUUGAGUCUUUAUCCUAGUAGACAUUGGUGAUAUUGGACCAAUAUUGGGAAACAACUGUCAGUGUAUGAUAUUGGUUCAUCAUCCAGCUGAUGAUUUAGACAUCAACAUUUAACCCUCAUCUGUUGGGAAUAAUAGAACACUGUCAUGUUGACUGCAAAAGGGAUAUUGGACCGCCAGAUAACGGUCCAAUAUAUGAUGCUUGCUCUGGUUAACAUCGCAGUAAAUGGUCUGUACAAAUAUGGUAAAUUUGUGCAGCUGGAAUUGUUUUAAUUUAUAUUGUUUAUAUGCAAUAUUUUAGUCAUUUAUAUACAUCCCAUGUAUUAAGUGAUGUUUUGGGUUUUGUAUAGAUCUAUACUUUAUGUAUAUUUCAAUUUAAACUGUAACUGUCUUUGCCAAAUUGCCACUGCUAAAUACUUGUAUUAAUCAUAACAUAAAAUGUUUUACAUUGUACUGCAGUUGUCAGAAUUUGUGAAAACUUUAUUUUAAAGAUAAUGUACAGAAAAUUGUUUAAUCUGAGAUACACUAUUUUCCAAUUAAUGUUAAUGACUGAAAAGUU
Molecule: long non-coding RNA, 6983 nt
Organism: Mercenaria mercenaria
Lineage: Eukaryota; Metazoa; Mollusca; Bivalvia; Venerida; Veneridae
Exons: 4
Source: RefSeq, a predicted model, not a curated record